This 1234-nucleotide ribosomal RNA is filed under the name metagenome. RNAcentral describes it as "bacterial LSU rRNA". It matches the Rfam family "Bacterial large subunit ribosomal RNA", at positions 1564 to 2808 of the family's 2925-position model. The record is from RNAcentral.
UGAAUACGAGAUGCUACGGCGUCGAAGCAGUCUAUGUCAUACUUCCAAGAAAAGCUUGCACUGUCAUAAACAAAUAAUGCCUGUACCAUAACCGACACAGGUGGGUAGGUAGAGUAUACUAAGGGGCGCGAGAUAACUCUCUCUAAGGAACUCGGCAAAAUGACUCCGUAACUUCGGGAGAAGGAGUGCCUUAUUUAUAAGGUUGCAAUAACAAGAUCCAAGCAACUGUUUACCAAAAACACAGGUCUCCGCUAAGUCGUAAGACGAUGUAUGGGGGCUGACGCCUGCCCAGUGCCAGAAGGUUAAAGAAGUUGGUUAGCAUCCGCGAAGCUGAUAACUGAAGCCCUGGUGAACGGCGGCCGUAAUAUAACGGUCCUAAGGUAGCGAAAUUCCUUGUCGGGUAAGUUCCGACCCGCACGAAAGGCGUAAUGAUUUGGAUACUGUCUCGGAGAGGGGCUCGGUGAAAUAGACUUGUCUGUGAAGAUGCGGACUACCUGCACCAGGACAGAAAGACCCUAUGAAGCUUUACUGUAACCUGAAAUUGAAAUUGGACUUUACUUGCGCAGUAUAGGUGGGAGGCGUUGAGAAUAUUCUUGCGGGAUUAUUGGAGCCAUCAGUGAGAUACCACUCUUGUAAUGUUAGAUUUCUAACUUUGUAUCAUUAUCUGGUCAAAGAACAGUUUCAGGCGGGCAGUUUGACUGGGGCGGUCGCCUCCUAAACGGUAACGGAGGCGCACAAAGGUUUCCUCUGAACGGGUAGAAAUCGUAUCUAGAGUGUAAAGGCAUAAGGAAGCUUGACUGUGAGACCUACAAGUCGAGCAGGGACGAAAGUCGGUCUUAGUGAUCUGACGGUGCUGAGUGGAAAGGCCGUCACUCAACGGAUAAAAGUUACUCUAAGGAUAACAGGCUGAUCUCCCCCAAGAGUUCACAUCGACGGGGAGGUUUGGCACCUCGAUGUCGGCUCAUCGCAUCCUGGGGCGGUAGUACGUCCCAAGGGUUGGGCUGUUCGCCCAUGAAAGCGGUACGCGAGCUGGGUUCAGAACGUCGUGAGACAGUUCGGUCCAUAUCCGGUGUAGGCGUUAGAAUAUUGAGAGGAGCCUUCUUUAGUACGAGAGGACCGAGAAGGACAUACCUCUGGUGUACCAGUUAUCGUGCCAACGGUAAACGCUGGGUAGCUAUGUGUGGAGUGGAUAACCGCUGAAAGCAUCUAAGUGGGAAGCCCACCUCAAGAUAAG